This 590-nucleotide ribosomal RNA is filed under the name uncultured bacterium. Its description in RNAcentral is "partial 16S ribosomal RNA". It matches the Rfam family "Bacterial small subunit ribosomal RNA", at positions 355 to 1376 of the family's 1533-position model. The record is from RNAcentral.
UGGGGAAUAUUGGACAAUGGGCGCAAGCCUGAUCCAGCAAUGCCGCGUGUGUGAAGAAGGCCUUCGGGUUGUAAAGCACUUUUAUCAGGAGCGAAACGCUGUCGGCUAAUACCCGGCGGAACUGACGGUACCUGAGGAAUAAGCACCGGCUAACUUCGUGCCAGCAGCCGCGGUAAUACGAAGGGUGCAAGCGUUAAUCGGAAUUACUGGGCGUAAAGCGUGCGUAGGCGGUUUCUUAAGUCUGCUGUGAAAUCCCCGGGCUCAACCUGGGAAUGGCAGUGGAUACUGGGAGGCUAGAGUGUGUCAGAGGGUGGUGGAAUUCCCGGUGUAGCGGUGAAAUGCGUAGAGAUCGGGAGGAACAUCAGUGGCGAAGGCGGCCACCUGGGACAACACUGACGCUGAGGCACGAAAGCGUGGGGGAGCAAACAGGAUUAGAUACCCUGGUAGUCCACGCCCUAAAGCGAUGCGAACUGGAUGUUGGUCUCAACUCGGAGAUCAGUGUCGAAGCUAACGCGUUAAGUUCGCCGCCUGGGGAGUACGGUCGCAAGACUGAAACUCAAAGGAAUUGACGGGGUCAUAGCUGUUUCCUG